AUUUUCUCCCAGGACCCUCAACUAAUUAGCAAAUUCAGCCUUUGAAUUCGUUCAGGACCAGCAGAAUCUUACAAAUAUUGGGAGGGCAGCAAAUUACCAGCAAAAGAUAAUUUUGAAGAUCCCCAGAAAAGAUGAGAACUGACUGGCAGAUAGACACCAAAGGUGGAAAGUAGCCCUGAAACAGAACUCAGCAGCUGUUAAUACCAAAGGAGCUUUCUGAUUUAGAAGAUUGAUACAAGCUGUUAUAUCUAUCAAACAAAGCAAGAACACCAUAUUCUUCCACUCAUUAUUUGGUUCCUGUUUAUAUGUGAUUAUUCACUCCUCAUCUUAUGUAAAUUUGUUUCUAAAAAGAGAGGUAUCCAGAUUAUGACCUUUGACUUUAGAAAAAGACCACCAGUAUUGGUUAUAGCAGUAAAUAACACUAGGAAGAUGUAAAUAUAUUGAGUAAAUCUAGAGAAAUACCCUGAAACAAACUUGGUAGAGACUCUGCAAAAGGAGAAAACCACACUCCUUCCCUAAGAAGCAAGUCUAGAAAUAUUCCUUGGACCCACAUGAUCUCUAUAGUGUAUCAAACUACCACUGGUGCAUUGGAUUGAGCCUGCUCUCCA
This 608-nucleotide long non-coding RNA is filed under the name Sarcophilus harrisii (Tasmanian devil). Its description in RNAcentral is "lncRNA (ENSSHAG00000024453.1)". Lineage: Eukaryota; Metazoa; Chordata; Mammalia; Dasyuromorphia; Dasyuridae. The record is from RNAcentral.